Non-coding RNA from Paramuricea clavata, 672 nucleotides. NCBI's taxonomy places the organism in Eukaryota, Metazoa, Cnidaria, Anthozoa, Malacalcyonacea, Plexauridae. The record is from the annotation of a GenBank genome assembly.
CUACGGGACCGACCAUUUAACUUUUGAGGGGGGGUGAUUUACUACUGGCAGGGAAUUUUUUUCUGGGAUCGUAUGCAAGAUAUUUUUUUCCUACCCAUCACCAUGUACGAUUUUUUUUGCCACUCUCUUUCGCAGCAUUUUUUUUCAAUAGCUUAUACCAUUUAGGUUCUUUAAUUAUAGUUAACGUUGAGUUUUCUAGCUUCAUGCAUUGCUUUUAAUAAUACAUAUUGCUAUGAGGUAUAACAUUUGGUUCAAAGCCUCUUUUAAGGAUGUGUAACUGAAGAGGACAUAUUUAGCGGGGGACCUGGUCAGGAGAAGUUCCAGUCGGUAAGUCUGUAUCGGCCUGUAUCACUGCAGCUACCAGCAUAUAUAUGCAUGGUUUAACUAAUAAGUAUACGUCAUAGGACAGCAAAUCAGGCCAUAACUAGGAUUCUGAGACAACCGAGUCAACCACCGAAGGUGCGAGCCUCUAGAGAGGUCUGGGGGCAUGCCCCCCAGAAAAGUUUGGAUUUCUUGAAGCUCAGAGCCUCAGAUAAGCUAUUUCCAGCAUUUUGAGGAGUUUUCCAACAAGAAAUUAACCUUACACUAGUCCUUGAAAAUCAAGCCACUCAGCUGAUCUUCUGGGACUGGUCAAAUCGAUCCCUGCAACCAUGCUGUUUUCCAACAUUUUUU